UCCGAGUUGACCCCGGCAGUCUCCUAUGAGUCCCCGACAUUACUCGCUGGCAACAUAGGACGAGGGUUGCGCUCGUUGCGGGACUUAACCCAACAUCUCACGACACGAGCUGACGACAGCCAUGCACCACCUGUGCACUGGCCCCGAAGGGCUGCCGUGUUUCCACGACAUUCCAGUGCAUGUCAAGCCCUGGUAAGGUUCUUCGCGUCGCGUCGAAUUAAACAACAUGCUCCGCUGCUUGUGCGGGUCCCCGUCAAUUCCUUUGAGUUUUAGCCUUGCGGCCGUACUCCCCAGGCGGGGCACUUAAUGCGUUAGCUACGGCACGGAACCCGUUGAAUAGGCCCCACACCUAGUGCCCAACGUUUACAGCGUGGACUAC
RNAcentral lists this unclassified non-coding RNA (379 nucleotides) under uncultured Actinomycetes bacterium. RNAcentral's name for it is "uncultured actinobacterium contains 16S-23S intergenic spacer region". The record is from RNAcentral. Lineage: Bacteria; Bacillati; Actinomycetota; Actinomycetes.